GGUCAGAGAGAGGUACCUUGCUUGGGCUGAUUGGAGACUGAGUGGAAGCUGAAGCAGGACCUAGAGCAGGGAUUAAAGCAGGAGAGAGCUCAGCUGCUAAUCUCUUUCUACGCACACUCUCUUCUAACCUGCGAAUGGAUUUUCUUCUUUGUGGUAGCUUCAUUUUGGGAGCCAUUAGGUCAAGAGAGACUUGGAAGGAGCUUAGGAGACUAAAUGUGAGGC
Molecule: long non-coding RNA, 222 nt
Filed under: Elaeis guineensis (African oil palm)
Lineage: Eukaryota; Viridiplantae; Streptophyta; Magnoliopsida; Arecales; Arecaceae
Description: long non-coding RNA (EGUI_LNC057245)
Source: RNAcentral